Molecule: long non-coding RNA, 341 nt
Organism: Helianthus annuus (common sunflower)
Lineage: Eukaryota; Viridiplantae; Streptophyta; Magnoliopsida; Asterales; Asteraceae
Exons: 3
Source: RefSeq, a predicted model, not a curated record
AGCAAAGAACCAAGGAGAAAACCCUAGUUUCAGAAAUUCACAAGAUUAAGAAGGAAUUAAGAGCCCAAGUUAAUGCAUGAACUCAAAUCUUUAACCCUCUAAGCUUGUUCAACAAAUGGUGUAAAGGAGGAAGGUUCGAGUCACGCGAAGCAACAAGGAAAUCAAGAACGAGGUAAAUCUCAAGUUUAGCUUUCAAGCUUCGCCCAGUUCGAACACACUUCAAGACCCGCCUUAUGUUCCGCUACUUUUGUAAAGAAGACAACGCUUAAUAUUUUGGUCUCUAUGUCUAUAUCUAGUAGUUAAAAACUUAGUUCUUGUUAUGUAUUUUUGAACUUAUCGAA